CAGCAGCCGCGGGAAUACAGAGGGUGCGAGCGUUAAUCGGAUUUACUGGGCGUAAAGCGUGCGUAGGCGGCUUCUUAAGUCGGAUGUGAAAUCCCUGAGCUUAACUUAGGAAUUGCAUUCGAUACUGGGAAGCUAGAGUAUGGGAGAGGAUGGUAGAAUUCCAGGUGUAGCGGUGAAAUGCGUAGAGAUCUGGAGGAAUACCGAUGGCGAAGGCAGCCAUCUGGCCUAACACUGACGCUGAGGUACGAAAGCAUGGGGAGCAAACAGGAUUAGAUACCCCGGUAGUCCCUGUCUCUUAUAC
This 301-nucleotide ribosomal RNA is filed under the name uncultured bacterium. Its description in RNAcentral is "partial 16S ribosomal RNA". It matches the Rfam family "Bacterial small subunit ribosomal RNA", at positions 509 to 807 of the family's 1533-position model. The record is from RNAcentral.